This is a non-coding RNA of Podarcis lilfordi (Lilford's wall lizard), 74 nucleotides long. Lineage: Eukaryota; Metazoa; Chordata; Lepidosauria; Squamata; Lacertidae. The record is from the annotation of a GenBank genome assembly.
GCCUGGAUAGCUCUGUUGGUUAAAGUAUGGUGCUGGUAACACCAAGGUUGCAGGUUUGAUUCCCGUAUAGGACA